AUCAAGAAUAACCCUUCCCAUGGCUAACCGUUACCAACAUUUCCAUACCUCUCGACGGACAACAUACAAAACGAUUAUAAUGCUAUGAUCAAAGUAUAUUUAAGCCAUUUUCGCAUGGCUAUCCAAAUUUACACAAAACCGAAGGGUACAUGACCAACAACAAAAGGGUAGUCCUAUACAUGCCAUUUUCAGAGUUCAACCAAAAGUGUACCAAAAGGGCUUUGAUAGUGUGGGCGACUUCGACUUCAAAAUCCCGAGUCCGAUAGCUGAAGAACCAAAAUCUAUAAAACAGAGAAUCAAAGAAACGGAGUAAGCAUUAAAUGCUUAGUAAGUUUUGAGCAAAGAGUUUAGACACAACCAAAGUAUAGCAUUCAUGUAGCUAAACGGAUAAUUUCAUAUGCACAAAUUUUCAAUAUCAUACUUACUUCACAUUACCAACCCUUAUGUUCAUACACAAAAGAUCAACUUAGCCAAAGGUCGGUAGCUCAUUUAUCAACUGAGCGAAUACUUAUUUGUAAGGGCUCAACUAAUUCAAAGCACAUACGAAACAUACCUCAAUGCUGGGAUGUUACAAGCGUAUUAACUGAAAUUUUUACAGCAAGAUCGCUCAUUCCCGAAUCACGUACCUUCGGAAUUUAACCGGAUAUAGCUACUCGUUCAAAUGCCUUCGGGACAUAGCCCGGUUAUAGUAACUCGCACAAAUGCCUUCGGGACUUAACUCGGAUUUAGUAACUCGCACCAAUGCCUUCGGGCUUAGCCCGGAAUUAGUAACUCGCACAAAUGCCUUCGGAUCUUAGUCCGGAUAUGGUCACUUAGCACAAAGCCUUCGGGACUUAGCCCGGACAUCAUUCGAAUAACCAUGCACAUUUAACAAUAAAU
RNAcentral lists this long non-coding RNA (879 nucleotides) under Gossypium barbadense (sea-island cotton). RNAcentral describes it as "long non-coding RNA (GBAR_LNC003172)". Lineage: Eukaryota; Viridiplantae; Streptophyta; Magnoliopsida; Malvales; Malvaceae. The record is from RNAcentral.